Prunus avium (sweet cherry) is the source of this 510-nucleotide non-coding RNA. NCBI's taxonomy places the organism in Eukaryota, Viridiplantae, Streptophyta, Magnoliopsida, Rosales, Rosaceae. The record is from RefSeq and is a predicted model, not a curated record.
AGCUCAUAACGCCACCCAAAAUCCAGAUUAAAGAAAAAAUUGUUUUCAUUUGUGCAAAAUCUUACAACCCAAAAUCUCAUUCCGUUUUCCAUCUGGAUUUUGAGGCAGGGGUAGUAGAAUAGAAACCAAAACCAGCACGUUGGUCAUCCACAUCACGCGUUUCUCUCUCUCUCUCUCUCUCUCUCUCUCUCUCUCUCUCUCUCUCAGAUAGAAACCAGAAAGACACUUUUUUAUUUGGGUGAAAACCCUAACUGGAAAGUCCAUCACUCUUGAGGUUGAGACCAUCGACAACGUGAAAGGCAAGAUCCAGAGGAAUCGAAAAAGUUCAAUGAUUUUCUGCGCACUCUAUGUAUAUUCUGCCAGGAGAAAGCCCUCAGCAGUUUCUGUGAAUUUCUUGCAUCCAAAGAGCUCACCUUGAUUUCAAAGACAGAAGCUAUAGACAGUGAAGUUAGGGAUGAUGAAGCUAGGAAUUUUCUGGUCAAAUCAGAGCCAAAGAUGGAAUGAGUGCUU